Long non-coding RNA from Cyprinus carpio carpio, 1988 nucleotides. Lineage: Eukaryota; Metazoa; Chordata; Actinopteri; Cypriniformes; Cyprinidae. The record is from Ensembl.
AGAUAAAUAAAUAAAAGUAAUAAAAACUAAAUAAAUUGGCAAUGAGUAUGGGAAUCUGCUCAUUUGAUUGUUAAAAAAAAAAAGCAAUUGGAAUCGGUCACGAAAAAUCCUGACCAAUGCAUCCUUAACUGGAAUAGAGUUAGACCUACCUGAAAAACCUGAAAAAGCAUGGUUCAUUUCAGUUUUAUCUUUGAACUAUUGUACCUAUUUUUGCAAAAUGGUCAUCAUUUAUUCCAAUACAAUGUUACAGUCAACAAUGAAAACAAUAAGUCUUAUUUAUUGAUUGACUGAUUGUGGCAAGGCCUGUGAAAAUUUUGCCAGGGCAAGUAAAAAAUUUAAACCACUGGCCAAACCGGGCCAGUAGAAAAUUUCCUUAGCGUUGAGCCCUGUCAAUAUGAUCAAAAUCAGUAUAAUAACACUUGUACACAGAUCUGUAGAACAUGUAGGUUCCAUAAUGAUAUUUUAAAAUUAAAAACUAGUAUCAUCGUAAAAUUGUGAGGAAGAGCUGAGCAAGUCUUACACAUGUAUUUCCUGGUCUGAGAGUGACUUCCUGCUUUAACAGGAAGUAAUGGAUACCAAAAAAUAUAGAAAUGUAUGUAUGUGAAAGGAGAAUGUAUGUGUGUGAAAGUAGAAUUGUAAGUAUGUGAAAGGAGAAUGUAUGUGUGUGUGAGAGUACUAAUGCAUGUACAGUGGUGUGAAAAAGUGUUGGCCCCCUUUCUGAUUUCUUUUUGCAUGUUUGUCACACUUUAAUGUUUCAGAUCAUCAAACAAAUUUAAAUAGUAGUCAAAGAUAACACAAGUAAACACGACAUGCAGUUUUUAAAUGAAGGUUUUUAUUAUUAAGGGAAAACAAAAUCCAAAACUACAUGGCCCUGUGUGAAGAAGUGUUUGGCCCCCCCUCCCCGUUAAAACUGUGGUUUAUCACACCUGAGUUCAAUUUCUCUAGCCACACCCAGAUCUGAUUACUGUCACACCUGUUCACAAUCAAUCAAGAAAUCUCUUAAAUAGGACCUGCCUGACAAAAUGAAGUAGACCAAAAGAUCAUCAAAAGCUAGACAUCAUGCCGAGAUCCAAAGAAAUUCAGAAACAAAUGAGAAAGAAAGUAAUUGAGAUCUAUCAGUCUGGAAAAGGUUAUAAAGCCAUUUCUAAAGCUUUUGGACUCCAAAGAAACCACAGUGAGAGCCAUUAUUCACAAAUGGCAAAAACAUGGAACAGUGGAGAACCUUCCCAGGAGUGGCCGGCCGACCAAAAUUACCCCAAGAGCACAGCGACGACUCAUCCAAGAGGUCACAAAAGACCCCACAACAACAUCCAAAGAACUGCAGGCCUCACUUUCCUCAGUUAAGGUCAGUGUUCAUGACUCCACUAUAAGAAAGAGACUGGGCAAAAAUGCUCUGCAUGGCAGAGUUCCAAGAUGAAAACCGCUGCUGAGCAAAAAGAACAUAAAGGCUCGUCUCAGUUUUGCCAGAAAACAUCUUGAUGAUCCCCAAGACUUUUUGGAAAAUAGCAAAAAAUUGCUUUUAUCAAGUACAAAUGCAUGCAUGUGAUAGGAGACUCAAAUUUCACUGCUGGUUAUAUAUUCUCUAUAUAAUCAUGUAUGUGACAAAUAAAAAUCUUGAAUCUUGAGAAUGUAAGUGUGUGAGAGUACAAAUAAAUGUAUGUGAAAGGAGAACAUAAGUGUGUGAGAGUGCCAGAAUGAAUUAUGGCUUGUUGGCAGGCUACUUUUGACACGAUUGACCCAGGUUAGAAUCAGCCUUUUGGCAAAUUUUUUUUCUGCCUUUUCAAACUUCAAAUCACAUUAGAAAAGCAUUUAUUUUUAAUAAAAAUAAAGGAAAUAAUCAAAAAGUUGAAAAUAAAGUAUCGGGUAGGUUUAGGGUAGGUGUAGGGAGGGCUUGUGUCCCAAGGUGGCAUCCAUUUAAUAAUUCGAAUUAAAAUUUAAAUUUACACUCAAUAAGUAAUUAUUGCAUAUUGUUUUAUAAUCUAUUACAA